CCUACGGGAGGCAGCAGUAGGGAAUUUUCGUCAAUGGGCGCAAGCCUGAACGAGCGAUGCCGCGUGAGUGAAGAAGGCCUUCGGGUCGUAAAGCUCUGUUGCGGGGGAAAAAAGGCAGCAUCAGGAAAUGGGUGCUGACUGAUGGUGCCCCGCCAGAAAGUCACGGCUAACUACGUGCCAGCAGCCGCGAUAAUACGUAGGUGGCGAGCGUUAUCCGGAAGGAUUGGGCGUAAAGGGUGCGCAGGCGGUCCUGCAAGUCUGGAGUGAAACGCAUGAGCUCAACUCAUGCAUGGCUUUGGAAACUGGAGGACUGGAGAGCAGGAGAGGGCGGUGGAACUCCAUGUGUAGCGGUAAAAUGCGUAGAUAUAUGGAAGAACACCAGUGGCGAAGGCGGCCGCCUGGCCUGUUGCUGACGCUGAGGCACGAAAGCGUGGGGAGCAAAUAGGAUUAGAUACCCUUGUAGUC
Molecule: ribosomal RNA, 465 nt
Filed under: uncultured bacterium
Lineage: Bacteria
Description: partial 16S ribosomal RNA
Rfam family: Bacterial small subunit ribosomal RNA
Source: RNAcentral